This 253-nucleotide ribosomal RNA is filed under the name uncultured bacterium. RNAcentral describes it as "partial 16S ribosomal RNA". It matches the Rfam family "Bacterial small subunit ribosomal RNA", at positions 524 to 776 of the family's 1533-position model. The record is from RNAcentral.
GACAGAGGUGCCGAGCGUUAGGCGGAAUCACUGGGCUUAAAGCGUGUGUAGGCGGCCCGUUAAGUGUCUUGUGAAAUCCCCCGGCUCAACCGGGGAACGGCUGGGCAUACUGGCGGGCUUGGGUCGCUCAGGGGCAGACGGAACAGGCGGUGGAGCGGUGAAAUGCGUAGAUAUCGCCUGGAACGCCGAAGGUGAAAACAGUCUGCUGGGGGCGCACCGACGCUGAGACACGAAAGCCAGGGGAGCGAACGGG